CGCGUAGGCGGCGCGGUAAGUCACUUGUGAAAUCUCUGAGCUUAACUCAGAACGGCCAAGUGAUACUGCAGUGCUAGAGUGUGGAAGGGGCAAUCGGAAUUCUUGGUGUAGCGGUGAAAUGCGUAGAUAUCAAGAGGAACACCUGAGGUGAAGACGGGUUGCUGGGCCAACACUGACGCUGAUGCGCGAAAGCCAGGGGAGCAAACGGGAUUAGAUACCCCGGUAGUCCUGGCCCUAAACGAUGAAUACUUGGUGUCUGGAGUUUUAAUGCUCCGGGUGCCGUCGCUAACGUUUUUAGUAUUCCGCCUGGGGAGUACGCUCGCAAGAGUGAA
This 332-nucleotide ribosomal RNA is filed under the name uncultured Acidobacteriota bacterium. Its description in RNAcentral is "bacterial SSU rRNA". It matches the Rfam family "Bacterial small subunit ribosomal RNA", at positions 568 to 898 of the family's 1533-position model. The record is from RNAcentral. Lineage: Bacteria; Pseudomonadati; Acidobacteriota.